Molecule: long non-coding RNA, 1501 nt
Organism: Siniperca chuatsi (mandarin fish)
Lineage: Eukaryota; Metazoa; Chordata; Actinopteri; Centrarchiformes; Sinipercidae
Exons: 3
Source: RefSeq, a predicted model, not a curated record
UGUUUCUUUGUUUAGUGGCCAUUGGACGUCACUGAUUACAAAUUCAAGGGGGGACUCCACUAUUUUAACAGCCAAUUAUGACACUUGUUAUUAGAACAGUGCCUCAUAAAAAUGCACACACAUUAGAUGAACUUAUCAGCCUAACUUCAUUAACCUACGUGAAUGUUCUACAGGCCUACAGCCUCGGGGUGGACAGGAACUGUGUGGCUUGUUCAAAUGUUUACAGAGUUGAGAAACCUUAAGGGAGAGAGAGAAAGCAACGCACUUGGGGUUAGAGAAUCACUCAGAGGAGGUUGCUGAUGACAAGCUCUUGUGAAGCGGAACUUUCCCCAGGGACUAGGAACCUUUGGAGGAACUCAGGGUCUAAAUUAAGUUCUGGAGAAAUUAUUUUACCCCCCAAAAAGUUCCAAAAGUACAGGAAUUUUUGGGGUGGUGCUUGCUGCGGUGAACAUUUCUGAUUGGUCGAGCUCUGGCCAGUGGAGCAGCGGUGGUUUGACCGUCUGGAUCGAUGCGUUGCUGGGUCACAGGCCGGCCUUCUCUGGCGCAGCGGCUUAGCUACUGCGCUGUUGGAAGCCAUGGUGGAAGACACGGAAACUGAUGACCAGUCGGUUGAAGAUGAAACAGACAGGCACAGCCUUUUUUGCCUUUAUUUGAUAGGAACAGCUGAAGAGAGACAGAGAGAGAUGUGGGAGAGAGAGACGAGAUGACAUGCAGCAAAAGGCCAUGGGUUGGAUUCAAACCCAGAAUUGCACAUUUAUAUUUCUGCAGAUAAAUAAAUAGUUGUGGAAACAAAUGUGUGUAUAGUGGCUCUAUAUAUGAAAAAUACAUGUAAUGCUUAUGUUACCAUAUUCUAAUAUUUACAACGCUCUGAGGAAAAACUGGUUCUCAAUUUCAACAUUAUAUACCGGUAAGUUCGGUAUUUUAAAACGGGUGAGAGUGCGUAGGUUAAUAAGCAAAGGUCCUUAUGCUGCAAUGCAGGUGAGGUGUUUAAUAAAUUAAAACAAUAGAGUUAUGCAGCUGUGUGAUGGGUGUAAUCUAAUUGGUGUAAUUUGCCUAAUCUAGCAGACAAUAACAGGCUGAAGGAACCUUUUAGUACCUUAAAAAGUAGCUCCUGGGAAUAAAAAUUCUGGGUACUUUGGGUGGAAACGCAGCUCAGGAUUACAAUUUCAGUAUACCUCUACUGUUGUACAGUAGGUUAUCAUUUAACACUCAACAGUUUUCAGCAAAAGUCCAUUAAAUCGAACUGCCCAGUCAGCAGAGGAGCAAUGUCCAUGUUUAAGUGUGUCAUUUUACCUUUUGUCACAAGACAAGUUACUACUUGCAUGUGUCGUAAUAUGUGUUUAGACAGUAGAGUCCCCCUUGUUUUCAUUAUGAGAAGCUGCUCUGUCAGAUUGACAUUAGAAGCAACAGCAGCAAGAAAAACUUCUUUCUCCUGCACUGACACAGCACUGAGAAAGAGAGCAACACUGUGUUAUGAUGUCUGAUUUUUAAAUGGCUCAGA